This is a long non-coding RNA of Telopea speciosissima, 175 nucleotides long. RefSeq lists it as uncharacterized. Lineage: Eukaryota; Viridiplantae; Streptophyta; Magnoliopsida; Proteales; Proteaceae. The record is from RefSeq and is a predicted model, not a curated record. The transcript has 3 exons.
UGAUGUCAACACACCCGAUCCUGUUGUAAUUUUCAUGACAGAGGGCUCCGGGACACAUAUGGGAAAUACAAUGAGACUAGGAUCUCGAAGAACAUUCUUUCAGACUCCCGACUGUAUUUCUUCUGAGCGAUACCAUAAUUCAGAGUAUGUGGACGAGCGUCAUUGGCAUAUAUAU